Molecule: long non-coding RNA, 2785 nt
Organism: Mus musculus (house mouse)
Lineage: Eukaryota; Metazoa; Chordata; Mammalia; Rodentia; Muridae
Product: predicted gene, 38712
Exons: 4
Source: RefSeq, marked validated
ACCUGACAGGUGGACUUGUCCUAGUGCAGCUGGAACACACUCACGGCUCCCAGGUCAGUGCAGUCAGAUGAAGAUGAGAGAGUAGAGCCACAGCACUGGAUAGAGAUGGACAAUCACUUCUCUCUCAGCCAUACCCUCUUCAAGAUCGCACCCGCCUUCCUGUCCUUUCUGUGUGGCAGAGGUGACUGUGCUCUGAAGAUGAGAGCCGCUAUCCAGAAGUGAGUUCCAGGUGCGUGCUUGUGGAUAGGUCUGGGAUAUGGAAAGACACUGGAGCUGGAAGAUGCGGAUGGGAAGAAAAGAUAGGAUGCUGACCCUCCUAAAGGGGCUUGCUCACCUGUGAGGAUACCUGCACUGCAAGAUAAAGUAAAAUUCCAGAUGGAAACCAGAGACAGCCUGUUUUGAUGAUGUAGCCUUUGCUGGCAAUCCAGAAGCACGAACACGUGGGGAGAGCUGCUGUUAGAAAGUCUCCCUUGAAAUGCAAAUGAUGGCUGAUGAUACAAGUUCUGAAGUGCAAGGAGAAUGCAUCUGAUGGAGAUGCAUGGAGAGGUAAAGAGAAGAAGAAGGAAGAAGAGGGAGGGUGAACAUGAAAGCACUCCUUUGUAAAUGUAUUUUCUUAGCAGUUUGGAAGACAAAAUUAGACCACAGUAUCAUUAAAAACCAAGACAAACAGCUGUAAACCUUCUAACAAGUUGAAAUCAUGAGACUGUAUUUGCAAUUUGAGAAUGAGGAUAUGAUGAAUACUAUUAUCAAAUGCCACAUAACCCUGGCCAAGAUGUGAAAAAUCUGUUAAAAAGGGUUUAGACUUUGUAUAUAGCUUUCCCUUCCUUUUUUUUUUUUGUUUUAAGAAAAAAAACUCUCUCUGAUUUAUCUUUCUUCAAAGAUAAAUACACUCACAGAAGGUGUAUAAAAACAAAUGUAACUGAACUGAACACACACACACACACACACACACACACACACACACACACACUUACCUGCCUCAGCAAAACAUAGGAAAUCCUACAAACCAGUAAUUCUAUCUUCCUUAGUUGAAAGGGAGCAUUACCAAACAGAAAGGGGAAAAAAAAAAAGUCCCACCAUGAGACGCUAUCCCUAAAUAGCUUCUUCCAGGUCUAGAACUUCUCACCUCUAUCUCAGUGUUUCCAUAAGUCUUCAGACAGGUGGGGGGGGGGAGGGGAUAUGCCUCUCUGCAUUUCUUAGUUGGAGGGGUUAUCACUUCUAUUCACAGCUGAGAGGUGGAAAGGGCUUGAAACUGCUGCAGAGAAUGUUGAAAAUUUAAAUGUUUAGAAAAUAUAGCUAUGGCUCUUAAAGGAGUAAGCUCUUUGCAUAUAUGUGCUGUACAUAUGCCAUGUAUGUCAUAUGUGCUGUAGUUAUAUGCUGUGUUAUAUGACAAACAUGUAAAUAAGUUUUGUAUAAACCACAACCUUAAAUUUCUUUUUCAGUGCGUAUUCAUCAAUUCUGUUUAGAGGCUAAGAAAUAACACUUUCUUUUCCAUGUAGGUGUCUAUGGUUUUGUUGCCAUAUUUGAAUUUGGCAUGAUAUGAGUUUAAAACACCACAUAGAAAAAGGAAUAGCAAGCAUUGACUUCCAUGGUUUUCUCUGGAUCACUGGCUGUGGGGCACAGACAACCUCUCAAGGGUGCUGAUGAGCUGUGUUCAUCCAGCCACAGAACUCACAAGAAUCUCAUUUCAACACUCAAGAUGUUCAGCUAUGUUCAACAGCCUGUCGCUGGCAAAGCUAAUGGUUACUGGCAAAUGUAGAUUCAUUAGCACUUUAUUCUAAGCCCAAGUCACUAUCCACUGUCAUGUUAUAAAAGAUUUAGGAUCUUGGUGAAGGGGCUACUGCCAGUACACAUGACAAAAUUAUGUCCUAAUGGUUUUUGAUCUGUCUCCUAAUGACAAAUGGAGUGACUAGGUGAGCCACUAGUGCCACAAGUUCCAAUGACCUGAGAAUUUUCUGCUUUCUAUCCUGUUGCAAGCAAUUCUUACUUUUGUGCAGAAAUUAAAAUGUUUACAUUGAUUUCUGGCAUGGUUCCUUAGUAACCUAAGCAGAGUACAGGAAAUGAAAAGCCUAACAAUUUACAUAAUGCUUUUUAUCACAUGGCCAAUUAAAACACAUACAACCGGGAAAUUAAUAUAAAAACAGAGAAAUCCCCUUAUCCUGGUAGGCAUCCCUAAUAUGACUGAUUAUGCUUUCUAAGGUUAAAUCCAGACACAUCAAUUAUGUGAGAAAAGAAUCUUUGGUUAUCAGGGAAGUCAAUCUCUGGUAAAUAACUUAGCUUUGAGUUUCCUGGUUAUACACAGCUUAUUAUUAAGAAAGGGUUAAUUUUCAGUGUGCUGAAGAGAAUAGGUUUCUACACUUUGGUUAGUAAUAUGGACUGAAGUUAAAUGUAAAAGCAUAAGGGAUUAAUUUUAUCUUUCAAGAUACCCAAUAAAAGUAGCAUGGUUUUAGAUUCAUAAUGACCUAACUUUUAGUUGUGGCUGGGUAUUUCGCUAGCUUGAAGUCAUAGGGAGUCAUUUUAACUUCUGUCAUCUAGCUUUCAUCCUCCUUAAAAUAAAGUUAAUGGUACCUACCUUACAGAACUGACAAGGGUUCAGGACAUUGUUGCUCCUUAAUAAAUGGUAAUUGUGUUAUCACAGAAAGGAAAUAGGAAAACAUUACUGAUUUCUUGUAUAAUUAAUUACAAAAUAGUGUAAUCUCUUAAUUUGAUGUAUAUCAUGAACUUAUUUAAUACAACAAGUGCAUGGAGUACUACUUAUUAUUUUAUACUACAAAAAAAAAAAAAA